Mauremys reevesii (Reeves's turtle) is the source of this 1326-nucleotide long non-coding RNA. RefSeq lists it as uncharacterized. The record is from RefSeq and is a predicted model, not a curated record. The transcript has 4 exons. NCBI's taxonomy places the organism in Eukaryota, Metazoa, Chordata, Testudines, Geoemydidae.
UCCAAUGGGAUUCAUUGCUUGUGUCCAUUUUGUGCUGUGACAGAAAUAGGACUGUAGGAAAAGCCUCAAGCAGGCUGGGUCCUGUCAGCAGAAUUAGUCUUAAUGGCAGGAGGAGGAGUGUUUUUAUGUAGUAACUAGAGCAGGGGUUCUCAAACUGUCAGGACCCCAAACUGGGUAACAACCCCAUUUUAAUGGGGUCACCAAGGCUGGUGUUGGCCCUGAGCCCCAACAAGUCUCAAGCCCAAGCCCCACUGCCCAGGGCUAAAAUUAUAUGCCUCCUGCCCCAGGGCAGAAGUCCUUGGGCUUCAGGUUUGGCCCCCCAACCCCACCCAGGAUGGUGGGGCUCAGGCAGGUUGGUUCUUUGGUCCCCGUCCUGGAGUCUUGUAGUAAUUUUUGUUCUCAGAAGGGGGUCACACUGUAAUGAAGUUUGAGAACCGCUGAACUAGAAUAUUUCAAUUAGCAGUAGGUUUGCGAUCACUAUGGCCAUUCUUAAAUGUUCAGCAUUCUAAUAUCACAUUAAAGUAAUAGCUGCAUUUUAUUUCAAGAAGUGAUGUUCCAACCCCAUCGCUGUCUCCCAAAUUCUUCAUAUUGACACCUUAUGUGGUUAGAGUGUGAGGCAUGCCAUGGAUUCACAUUGAAUGUUUGGAGCAAUCCCCAGUGAAAUCUGUACUCCAUGAGACCAGGAGAAUUUAUCUGCAAGAAGUCAAGUGGACAUGAGUCAAUUGAGAGAAGAUGGUAUAUAUAAUGGAUACGUACCACUAUAAAGGGGAAGAGCAUUCCUAUUGUGAAGAAACUCAGCCAACUAACAGAUCCUCCUAUCAUCUGCCGCUAUGACUGACUCAGUUAAAGAGAGAAUGAUUCCACAUGGAGACCCUAGAGAUGGAUGGAUACAUGAUUCACAAAAAAGGAAAAGAAAACAGGCCAAACAUCCAUUUGCUGCCAAACCUUCCAUUGAUGUUUAACUCACCUGCCUAAUCUAAUCGCUAUGCUGCCUCCGAUGUGAGCUCCGCACAGACCUCCAAGGGAAAAUAUAGACGCAAUGACAGACCAGAGGAGAGUCAGCAAGCUUGGAUUCAGUUCCAUUUGAUAGCGACUGCUCCAAGUUUCAUUUAGGAAUUUGUGGAUGUGCUGAAAAUGCAGAGUGGUGAAUCAACUUGCAUCUCAAUAAACAAUUGAUCACUUAGCCCAAAUGCCUGAGAUCCCAUCCUCAGAGCCAACAUGUGUAAGGGAAAACAUCUUACUGAAUAUCAGCCAUUCCCCGUAGAGCUGUGUUACACAAAAAUCCUACUAACUAGUUACAAAUUAGCAGAAUUCUGACUCACUAGU